CCUACGGGGGGCAGCAGUGGGGAAUAUUGGGCAAUGGGCGCAAGCCUGACCCAGCAACGCCGCGUGAAGGAAGAAGGCUUUCGGGUUGUAAACUUCUUUUCUCAGGGACGAAGAAAGUGACGGUACCUGAGGAAUAAGCCACGGCUAACUACGUGCCAGCAGCCGCGGUAAUACGUAGGUGGCAAGCGUUAUCCGGAUUUAUUGGGUGUACAGGGCGUGUAGGCGGGAGCGCAAGUCAGAUGUGAAAACUCAGGGCUCAACCCUGGGCCUGCAUUUGAAACUGUGUUUCUUGAGUGCUGGAGAGGCAGUCGGAAUUACGGGUGUAGCGGUGAAAUGCGUAGAGAUACGGAGGAACACCGGUGGCGAAGGCAGAUUGCUGGACAGUAACUGACGCUGAGGCGCGAAAGCGUGGGGAGCAAACAGGAUUAGAUACCCGAGUAGUC
This 443-nucleotide ribosomal RNA is filed under the name uncultured bacterium. RNAcentral's name for it is "partial 16S ribosomal RNA". It matches the Rfam family "Bacterial small subunit ribosomal RNA", at positions 338 to 795 of the family's 1533-position model. The record is from RNAcentral.